RNA transcript from Cottoperca gobio, 7337 nucleotides. It is a transcript of the gene named SWI/SNF related BAF chromatin remodeling complex subunit ATPase 2, with no coding region annotated. The record is from RefSeq and is a predicted model, not a curated record. Lineage: Eukaryota; Metazoa; Chordata; Actinopteri; Perciformes; Bovichtidae. The transcript is spliced from 35 exons.
CAGCAAAACAACACCGAGGGGGAGGGAACUUUCGGACAGCAGUCAUAUUUUGAAGAAACAUUACAAUAUUUUCAUCUAAUUGUGUGCAGUAACAGUUCAGCCGAAAGCUGUCUGGUAUGCUCCCAGCAAUUCUGUAGAUGUCCACCCCUUCAGACACAUCAGGUGGUAUGUCCCAUCCUGGCCCUUCUCCUGGGGCAGGUCUAUCCCCAGGGCCCAUCUUGGGUCCCAGCCCUGGACCGGACCCCUCACCAGGCUCUGUUCACAGUAUGAUGGGACCCAGUCCUGGGCCUGGAACACCCAAUGCACCUCACGGCAUGCAGGGACAAAGUGAAUACUCUCAGGACAGCAUGUAUCCUCUGCACAAGACCAUGGAGGGGAUGAAUGAGAAGACCAUGGCAGAUGCGAUGCACUUUGGUCACAUGAAAGGUGUGGGGAUGAGAUCUCUGCAUAGUGGUAUGGGACCCCCACAGAGUCCGAUGGACCAGCACAGCCAAGGAUACAUAUCCCCGCAUCCAUCCCCCAUGACUGUCCAUGAGCAUGCGUCUAGUCCCAUGUCAGGAGGUGGAGGUGGAGGUGGUGGAGGUGGUGGGGGACCCACCCCACCCCACAUGCCUCCCUCCCAGUCAGGCCCCAUGAUGUCCAUGGAUCCUCAGUCAGCCGUGCCCAACAUGUCCAACAUGAGCCAGCAGGGCCGGGGACCUUCUGCUUUCAGUCCGGUCCAGCUGCAGCAGCUCAGAGCUCAGAUCCUGGCCUACAAGAUCCUGGGUCGUGGGCAACCCCUGCCUGAAAACCUCCAACUGGCUGUUCAGGGCAAGAGGAGUCUACCCAUACUGCAACAGCAACAACAACAACAACAACAACAACAGCAGCAGCAGGCACCUAGUGCUAGUCCUUACAACAGGCCUCCAGGUAUGCCAAUGGCAACUUUGGGUGGUCCCCAGUCAAGUCCCUGCCCUACCCCAACCAUGCAAGGACACACUCAAAGCACAGGACCCAAGCCUUGGUCUGAUGGUCAGGGUGGUGAAAAUCAUGCCAACGUUCAGAAGCACCUGACCCCUGUUGCCAGUGGACGCCCGUCUCCUGCACCACCUCAAGCCUCUGCUGUUCCACCCGGUCCCGUGCCAGGCAGUUCAGUGACCCCUCAGCCUCCCGGGCAGCAGGUGUCCCCCAUGCUCCAGAUGCAGAAACAGAACCGCAUCACACCGAUCCAGAAGCCCCAGGGCCUGGACCCUGUGGGGAUCCUGCAAGAGAGAGAGUAUAGGUUGCAGGCUCGGAUUGCACAUCGAAUCCAGGAACUGGAGAGUUUGCCAGGCUCUCUGCCCCCCGACCUGAGGACUAAAGCCACAGUGGAGCUCAAGGCACUGCGUCUGCUCAACUUCCAGCGGCAGCUGAGACAGGACGUGGUGGCAUGUAUGAGGCGAGACACGACCCUGGAGACGGCCCUCAACUCGAAGGCUUACAGACGCAGCAAGCGGCAGACGCUGAGGGAGGCACGCAUGACGGAGAAGCUGGAGAAACAGCAGAAGCUCGAGCAGGAGAAGAAGCGCAGACAGAAACACCAGGAAUAUCUCAACAGUAUCCUCCAGCAUGCGAAGGACUUCAAAGAGUAUCACCGCUCGGUGUCCGGUAAAAUGCAGAAACUCACCAGAGCUAUCGCCACCUGGCACACCAACACAGAGCGGGAACAGAAGAAGGAGACCGAGAGAAUAGAGAAGGAGAGGAUGAGGAGACUCAUGGCAGAAGAUGAGGAAGGCUACCGAAAGCUAAUUGACCAAAAGAAGGACAAGCGUCUGGCCUACCUGCUGCAGCAGACGGAUGAAUACGUGGCCAACCUCACCACCCUGGUGUACGAACACAAAGCUGCCCAAGCUGCCAAGGACAAGAAGAAGAAGAAAAAGAAGAAGAAAAAGAAGAAGGUGGAUGGAGACUGUGAAGGCACCAGCGCCAUUGGACCUGAUGGAGAGCUCGUGGAUGAGAGCAGCCAGACGAGUGAGCUGCCAGUCAAACUGGUUCAGACGGAGACUGGGAAAGUUUUGCAGGGAACGGAUGCUCCCAAAUCCAGCCAGCUGGAAGCCUGGCUCGAGAUGAACCCUGGGUAUGAAGUUGCCCCGCGGUCGGACAGCGAGGAGAGCAGCUCCGAGUAUGAGGAGGAGGACGAAGAGGAGGGGACUAAAGCAGAGAUGGAGGACAAGAUGAUUCUCGAUCCCCAUGGAGAAGGAAUGUUCGUGGCGGCUACCAAGCACAUUAUCGAGUCUGUUAAGCAGGAUGUGGACGAUGAAUACAGUGUUCCUACUGGACAAACCAGCUCCCAGUCUUACUAUGGUGUGGCCCACGCUGUCAUUGAGAGGGUGGAGAAGCAGUCGGCGCUGCUCGUCAACGGCACACUCAAACAUUACCAGGUCCAGGGGCUGGAGUGGAUGGUUUCCCUGUACAACAACAAUCUAAACGGCAUCUUGGCUGAUGAAAUGGGCCUCGGCAAAACCAUCCAAACCAUCGGCCUUAUCACCUACCUGAUGGAGCACAAGAGGAUCAACGGACCCUUUCUCAUCAUUGUUCCUCUCUCGACUUUGUCUAACUGGGUUUAUGAACUUGACAAGUGGUCACCCUCUGUGGUCAAAGUUGCGUACAAGGGCACCCCUGUGUUGCGCCGUGGGCUUGUGCCUCAACUCCGCAGUGGGAAGUUCAAUGUCUUGCUGACCACUUAUGAAUACAUCAUCAAGGACAAACACAUACUGGCCAAGAUUCGUUGGAAGUACAUGAUUGUGGACGAGGGUCACCGCAUGAAGAACCACCACUGUAAGCUGACCCAGGUGUUGAACACCCACUACGUGGCGCCCCGCCGCCUCCUCCUCACCGGUACACCACUGCAGAACAAGCUGCCUGAGCUGUGGGCCCUGCUCAACUUCCUGCUGCCCACCAUCUUCAAGAGCUGCAGCACCUUCGAGCAGUGGUUCAACGCCCCGUUCGCCAUGACAGGAGAGAGAGUCGACCUAAAUGAGGAGGAGACCAUCCUGAUCAUCCGGCGUUUGCAUAAGGUGCUUCGCCCCUUCCUGCUACGCAGACUCAAGAAGGAGGUGGAGUCACAGCUGCCAGAGAAGGUGGAGUAUGUCGUGAAAUGUGACAUGUCUGCCAUUCAGAAGGUUUUGUACCGCCACAUGCAGAGAGGCAUCCUCCUUACUGACGGCUCAGAGAAAGACAAGAAGGGCAAAGGAGGAUCAAAGACCCUGAUGAACACCAUCAUGCAGCUGAAGAAGAUCUGCAACCAUCCAUACAUGUUCCAGCACAUUGAGGAAUCUUUUGCUGAGCACUUGGGCUUUCAAAAUGGCGUCAUCAGUGGGUUUGAGCUUUAUCGAGCUUCUGGGAAGUUCGAGCUCCUAGAUCGCAUCCUUCCGAAGCUGCAUGCCACCAGCCACAGAGUCCUGUUGUUCUGCCAAAUGACCACUCUCAUGACAAUCAUGGAGGACUACUUCAGCUACCGCAACUUUCAGUAUUUACGUCUCGACGGAACCACCAAGGCUGACGACCGAGCGUUACUGCUGAAGAAAUUUAGUGAGGAAGGAUCUCAGGACUUCAUCUUCCUGCUCAGUACCAGAGCCGGCGGCCUCGGCCUCAACCUGCAGGCUGCUGACACUGUCGUCAUCUUUGACAGUGACUGGAACCCACACCAGGACCUGCAGGCUCAGGACCGGGCUCACCGCAUCGGUCAGCAGAAUGAGGUGCGUGUGCUUCGUCUCUGCACCGUGAACAGUGUUGAGGAGAAAAUCUUGGCGGCUGCCAAAUAUAAACUGAACGUGGAUCAGAAGGUCAUCCAGGCGGGCAUGUUCGACCAGAAGUCCUCGAGCCACGAGCGCCAGGCUUUCCUCCAGGCCAUUUUACUGACUGAGGAGCAGAAUGAGGAAGAAGACGAGAUUCCCGAUGAUGAAACUCUUAACCAGAUGAUAGCCCGUAAUGAAGACGAAUUUGAGCUCUUCAUGCGCAUGGACAUGGACCGACGGCGGGAGGACGCCAGGAACCCAAAGCGUAAGCCUCGCCUCAUGGAGGAGGACGAGCUGCCUUCGUGGAUCAUUAGAGAUGAAGCUGAGGUGGAACGGCUCACGUAUGAAGAGGAGGAGGAGAAGAUGUUCGGCCGAGGGUCACGCUGUCGUCGGGACGUUGACUACAGCGACACACUGACCGAAAAACAGUGGCUGAGGGCCGUUGAAGAUGGAAACCUGGAAGAGAUGGAGGAGGAGAUCCGGCUGAAAAAGCGCAAACGCAAGAGACGGCAAGACAAGGACUCGUCGAGCAGAGAAGACGGGGGCUCCAAGGGCAAGAAGAAACGUGGACGUCCACCAACUGAGAAACUUUCCCCGAACCCGCCCAAAAUCACCAAGCAAAUGAACACCAUCAUCGAUACAGUGAUCAACUACAGGGAUGGGUCAGGAAGACAACUAAGCGAAGUCUUCGUCCAGUUACCAUCCAGGAAGGAGCUCCCAGAAUAUUACGAGCUGAUCAGAAAACCUGUAGACUUUAAAAAGAUCAAGGACCGUGUGAGAAACCAUAAAUACAGAGGUGUGGGAGACCUGGAGAGGGACGUGAUGCUGCUUUGUCACAACGCCCAGACCUUCAACCUGGAGGGAUCCCAGAUAUACGAAGACUCCAUUGUCCUUCAAUCUGUGUUCAAGAGUGCCAGACAGAAGAUUGCCAAGGAUGAAGAGAGUGAAGAUGACAGCGAUGAGGAUGAUGAUGAUGAUGAUGAGGACGAGUCAGAGACUGAGGAAAAUCGAAGUUCCCUAAUUAGAUUUUUUGGGAGGUUUGAGCUGGUCGUCCACAAAAGCUCCAGAAGGAAUGAGAUGAAAAAUGUGGAAAUGAACUGCGAUGUUGAAACCUCCAGGAAAACCUUACCAAGUCUGUGCGGGUCAAGAUUAAGCUGAGUAAGGAGGCGCGCAGCCACGACAAAGGCAAGAAGAGGCAAAGCCGAGGGAAGGCCAAGCCGGUGGUCAGCGACGACGACAGCGACGAAGACUUGGAUGACAAUGACCAGUCAGACAAGAGUGACGAUGACUGAGGACAAGAGGAUAUUGAUUAUAGCACUUGUAAACAAAAAGGGCAAUAUCUUCCAACGACGUUGUUCAGGUUCAUCUUCUGUCAUUUUUUUAUUUUUACUUCAUUUGUCGUCUGUUUGUAGUGUGUUUUGUUGCACUUUCUCCUACCAGCUUGGAAAUGUAUUACUAAUAUUCGAUAAGCUACAGCAAUACCAAUCUGCUUAUAUUCCUGUUUUUAAGACAAUUUUUUAGUAUAUUUUUUAACUCUGCUUUGAAAGCCGAUUUAAAUUCUGUAUGAAAAAAGGAAGAAGAAAAAGAUUUGGUCAUGCUUUACGUGCUUUUGCUUGAUUUGUAAUUGAUUGCUUGCACUUUUAGAACAUUAAUUAUUAAUAUCAAAAAAGAAAAAAAAAAGUGGUAUAAAAACAUGGAAGCCAAGGACACCCAAGUUCAUUUGGAGAGCCACUGGUUAUAAAAAGAAAAGGCAAUCAAUCAAGUUUUUAAUAUUUUAGAUUCAUUGUUUCACCUUGUGUAGUGCCAAAUGUUGAAAUUGAUCGUUCGCUAAACCCCCAACCAGCGACUGUCUAUUCAUAGCUAAGCAACUGUUACUAGGCAUAGCAGGCCUUUCAUGUCAAGCUUUCUAUUUCUUCACAUUUUUAAAGCUGUGGUACGAGAGUACACGACAGUCAGAGUCUGGAGCGUGGUGUCUUUCCAAACCCAAACAUAAAAGGGCAGAAACAGCAUGUUCGUCUGCGUUAGCGUCAAAUGUUUGAUUAUCCCGCUUUAAAAAUACUACUCAUUAUUAAUGAUAACAUACUGUAGCAGUCGAGCGUUAUUUCCAAGGAGAAGAAGAGCUUAACUACUACUCAAGCUAAACAGACAUUAGCAUGUGGGGCUAGCGAGCUUACAGUAGGAACUCACAAGGCCAAGACAAACCCAUCAAUAACUAACUAGGUGACAUUAUUUGGGUUAUUAGACACAUUAAUAAUCCGGUUCAGGACUGGAGCAUGAUGUCGUAUUGAGUCGUUUAGACUUCCUUCACAAGAUUCUUGAUAUAAAAUGAGUCCGUUGAAAACAUUAAAAACGUUAAGCUACAGCUUUAUCAACCAACUCAAAGCUAAUGUUAACCUAAUCUGUAAACUAUUCCCUAAGUUUAUUAAACCAUUUAGUCAACAUUUAAAACUUUUUUUUACAAGAUAACUGAAAACGUUAAAAAGUCAGCUGGAAACAUGUCUUUCAACUUUAUCUCCGUUAGCUAGCUGACUACAUCUGGCAGCGACAGAAGACAUUUCAGCUAAAUCCACGGUCGCCAGCUAGAAAUGAGAAGCCUGCUUUUGUCUGAAAUAAAUAUUCCCCCCAAUAUGAAUGAAAUGUGAAGGAUUUUGAAAGUAAAUCUGCCACCGAGAACAGCGAAGAUGUAAAGCUUGACAGGCGUAGCGACAGUAACUACAAGGAAUGGGGCUUAGCGAACAUUCAGUUAAGAGAUUUUGAGAGUGUAAACUAUUUCUUAAGUCUAUAUAUACGUAUAUCUUACAGCCAGCACAACUAAAUGUCAGUUGUUGCUUGAUGACUUAGACAUUACUUUGUGGUGGCCAUAAAUGCUGAAUUCUUUUUUUUAAACUCCUUUUAUUGAGAGACAUGUAACCGUACAAUUGGUAGGAGGCACAUUUAGGAACAAGUCCAUGUGUUUCAUGUGUUUCAUGUAACCUUUCCUGUAAUGCUUUCAAGUUGUCGUGUAUCAGAGCGGAGGCUAUGCUUCGUUGUUAUCACUUUCUCAGUCACAAAGGAGCGUUUGGGGGAUCUUGAUUGAGAAGCUGGUUGUUUUAGGCUGCACGUUCACUGGGAUACAUCUUGUGCUGUUGAAUAAAAUGAGCAUCUAUUGUAGCUAAAUGUAACUUUUUAAAGCGUCUGAAAACAUGUUGCUCCUGUUUUGAACAGAUUUCAAGGAACCAAGUUUUAGCUGGAUUUUUACAGACUAUGAAAGACAAUAAACAACGGAAAAUAUUACAAAGAAAACAGUAUUAUGGGAUUGAAUUUUUUUAGUUGAAUGACAUUGAAUAUAACAGUAUAUUUUAAACAAUGUACUGAUUUACUGUAUUAGUUUCGAGCUCUCAUUUUAUCAGUUUAUAUGUUGUUUGUAGCAUGAACUCUUUUGGCAAUAUACUGUGUACAUGCAGAUAUAUCUCUUUUGUUUGUGUAACAUGUGCUUGCCGACUCCAUAAGUGUGACUUAAUCUUUGCUUUCUUUGCACAGUGUCUUUGUGGUUGUAUUUCAUAGCCCAGGGCAAAUAAAAUCUCACCGAUUUUCAGCACAAAA